UUGAUCCUGGCUCAGGAUGAACGCUAGCUACAGGCUUAACACAUGCAAGUCGAGGGGCAGCAUGAACUUAGCUUGCUAAGUUUGAUGGCGACCGGCGCACGGGUGAGUAACACGUAUCCAACCUUCCGUUUACUCAGGGAUAGCCUUUCGAAAGAAAGAUUAAUACCUGAUAGUAUGGUGAGAUUGCAUGAUAGCACCAUUAAAGAUUUAUUGGUAAACGAUGGGGAUGCGUUCCAUUAGGUAGUAGGCGGGGUAACGGCCCACCUAGCCGACGAUGGAUAGGGGUUCUGAGAGGAAGGUCCCCCACAUUGGAACUGAGACACGGUCCAAACUCCUACGGGAGGCAGCAGUGAGGAAUAUUGGUCAAUGGGCGAGAGCCUGAACCAGCCAAGUAGCGUGAAGGAUGAAGGUCCUACGGAUUGUAAACUUCUUUUAUACGGGAAUAAAGUAUCCUACGUGUAGGAUUUUGUAUGUACCGUAUGAAUAAGCAUCGGCUAACUCCGUGCCAGCAGCCGCGGUAAUACGGAGGAUGCGAGCGUUAUCCGGAUUUAUUGGGUUUAAAGGGAGCGCAGACGGGAGAUUAAGUCAGUUGUGAAAGUUUGCGGCUCAACCGUAAAAUUGCAGUUGAUACUGGUUUCCUUGAGUGCAGUUGAGGCAGGCGGAAUUCGUGGUGUAGCGGUGAAAUGCUUAGAUAUCACGAAGAACCCCGAUUGCGAAGGCAGCUUGCUAAACUGUAACUGACGUUCAUGCUCGAAAGUGUGGGUAUCAAACAGGAUUAGAUACCCUGGUAGUCCACACGGUAAACGAUGGAUACUCGCUGUUGGCGAUAUACUGUCAGCGGCCAAGCGAAAGCAUUAAGUAUCCCACCUGGGGAGUACGCCGGCAACGGUGAAA
Molecule: ribosomal RNA, 894 nt
Filed under: uncultured bacterium
Lineage: Bacteria
Description: bacterial SSU rRNA
Rfam family: Bacterial small subunit ribosomal RNA
Source: RNAcentral